Molecule: ribosomal RNA, 842 nt
Filed under: Parrhinotermes buttel-reepeni
Lineage: Eukaryota; Metazoa; Arthropoda; Insecta; Blattodea; Rhinotermitidae
Description: partial 16S ribosomal RNA
Rfam family: Archaeal large subunit ribosomal RNA (bases 431-626)
Source: RNAcentral
UGUUUCCCGAUUUUAAUAGGAGUUAAUGGUUUAUGUUGGUUGCUGUUUUAUAAGCAUUAUUAAUAUUCUGUUGGUAGUGAAAUGUUAUUCGUCUUUGUUGGUUUCUGGUUUUUCGAGAAAUGAAUUUAAUUCAUGCAUCUUAUUUAGAUUUAUUAUUUAUUUAUUAAGAUUUAAAUUGUUGUUAAGAUUAGGGGGGAUUAGCUCUCUUUUUUAAGUUUAUUAUAAUUUUGUUUGUUUCAAGGAUUUUUGUUGAUUUUAUAGUGAUUUUCUAUUUGAUUAUGUUAAAAUUUUAUUUUUUGUUUGUUGUAUUUUUUUAUAUUUAAUUUUAUAUUGAAAUGUUAUUUUUAAUUGUUUUUAUUUNGUAUUUAUUGUUGAAUUAGUAAAUUAUUUCUUAUUUUGUUGGUGUGUUUUAUUUGAUUUGUUAAUUUCUUCUUAGGAAUUAGGCAAGAAUUUUGUGUCCGCCUGUUUAACAAAAACAUCUUUUCUUGUUAGUUUUUGAAGUAUGGCCUGCCCACUGAAUUGUUUUGAAGGGCCGCGGUAUUUUGACCGUGCAAAGGUAGCAUAAUCAUUAGUUCUUUAAUUGUGAUCUGGAAUGAAUGGCUUGACGAGAUGCAUACUGUCUUAGAUUUUGUUGAAUCGAUUAUGUUGAAUUUGGUUUCUGAGUUAAAAUUCUCAGGUUUUUUUAUGGGACGAGAAGACCCUAUAGAGUUUUAACACUUGUUUUUAUUUUAUUUUUUGUUUGUUGUAUUUUUUUUAAUAAAUUUGUCGUGUUUUGUUGGGGUGAUUGGAAGAAUUUGUUUAACUCUUCUUUUCUUUUUUUCAUUUAUUUAUGUUUUUUUGAU